This 253-nucleotide ribosomal RNA is filed under the name uncultured prokaryote. RNAcentral describes it as "partial 16S ribosomal RNA". It matches the Rfam family "Bacterial small subunit ribosomal RNA", at positions 524 to 776 of the family's 1533-position model. The record is from RNAcentral.
UACGUAGGAGGCAAGCGUUGUCCGGAAUCACUGGGCGUAAAGGGCGCGUAGGCGGGUUUUUAAGUCAGAUGUGAAAGAUGCGGGCUCAACCCGGAGUGUGCAUCUGAUACUGGAGAUCUUGAGUGCAGGAGAGGACAGUGGAAUUCCUAGUGUAGCGGUGGAAUGCGUAGAUAUUAGGAGGAACACCAGUGGCGAAGGCGGCUGUCUGGACUGUAACUGACGCUGAGGCGCGAAAGCGUGGGGAGCAAACAGG